GGCUAUGUCAGGGGUGGGCAAACCAAGUCCCACAAGGUAGGAAAUAAAAUAGUUUGGAGGCGAGCUAAAACAAAAUGUUUGCCCUCCCCUGGGCAAUGGCAAUUUUCCUUUUUUGCUUUUGCAGCCGACUUCGGUUCAGGUGGCGCUGUUGGGUGGGAGAAAAUAGCCUACUCGUUUUGGGGCGGGAACGGAAGGCAGAAACAUCCACUUAUUGGACCGGUGAUCGUAUGUGUGUGUGUGUUCUCGAGCGUUUCAGUUUGGUCCUAACAAUCACAGAUAAACCUGUUGAUCCGUGGUAUCUUCUUAGCUGAAAUAUUUCUCAUGACGAAAAGGCACGCUGAUCAGGGUGUGUUCCACGACGCGCCAUUUAAAAGAUCAUGCUGUCGUCCACUUUACAAAAUAGAUACGCAGUUACAAAGCAUGGAUUCAGCCGGACACGUGAAUCCGCCAUCUCUGCUAGCUUUGUUGGGGAGACGCUGCAAAAAGAGACCGUACUACUUUGAAGAUCAAGAGGAACAGCAAGAAAUACUAAAACCGCGUAAGCUUUCUGCUUGUGAUCAUCGGGCCAGUGCAACAGAGAAUGUUCUAGUAAAGAAUUCUGGAAGUUUCCGUGAGAUUAAUCCACCUGCGAACUCUUUUAGCUUAACCUCCAAGAAACGUGCUCGAGAGGACACUGCCACAAAAUUUGAUGCUCCAAAAAAGGAAACACACAAAGAUGAUGAUGAUGAUGCUGAUGAUGACAAUGACCUUUGCACUUUCAACUCAUUUCAGUACUGGAGGGUCCCUCUGCCGAAGCUCGACCUUUCACUUGUGCAGAUUGAUAACAUAUCUGGACCAAUUGGAGAACCCACAGUAAAAUACUUAUCCUCUGAUGCCAUGGAGUCAUGAAGUAUUUCCUGCCAUAGAACUCUUGUGAGAGGUGUCCAUAGCCUCACUCCCCACCAGAGCCAUACAGAUAAUCUAUACUAUAUGUAUUCUUCUGCUCUGGGGCUGUAGUGCUAUUUCAUUAUUGUUUUGGGUGCAGGAACAUACUGUCAGUAAUUAUUCAUGCUUUCCUGGUGAAAUAUCCAAAUAUUCUUGCUGUUAUUUGUUUUUGUAAGGUGAAAUACUUAUAGCCUUAUCGGUAGGCCUACUUUAGGCUUCUAAACCAGCCCCUUUGUGAAAGGUGUUUUUUCUAUUCAUAAGUGAUGAGUGACUGUUAGGGGUAAACAGCAGGUCUUGAUGAGUGGUAUUUCAAGUUAUCUGUAGUGUGUUAUAUCAAAGGCCGACAGUGGUUUUUGAUUCCUGCUCUUGUAGGUGUGAUGCUGUUCAUGGGGCUGAACUACUUGUGCUGUCUGCCAAGCAACAGCUACAGUGAUUUGUAGUUGAGCAGUGGUCUCAGCACUGGUUCUCCCAAACUGUCAACAAAGUUCCUGAAGCUGUUGAUGGUGGAGGUUUAUUGGAGGCAACAACAUUGUCCCUUUAUUAGAAAUAUUGUGUAGAAAUUGUUGACCAAACAAUCACAUCAGUUUCUAUCACACUUUGUAACACAAUAAAUAUAGAGCAAGUCCUAUGUUGUGGAAUACUUCCACUGUACCAUCAAGAUUAUAAUAUCUAUGGACUAUACAGCAUGAAAACAUUGGAAAAAGACUUUCCACCUGUAGCUUUUAUAAAGUUGUAGUACUUUUGGUGGCCAUUUAGUGGUGUAGUGUCAUUAAUGUUAACAGGUCUUUUUCUAUGGAGCCUAUUUUCUAUUGGAAUUAUGGGAUGGGAUGUGUUGCUUAUUCAGCAAAUUUUUACUUGUUGGUACAUUUGCUCUGGAAGUCACAAGCUGCAUGUAGUGCUCAUAGCUGGGAUCUUGUGACCUAGACACUGAUGUUCUUUAAUGUUUAGGAAUGUCAUGAAUCAUUGCUUAUUAAAUGGCUUUGAAACCAUGGAAAUUCUUUAUUGAGAAAUAAUAUUGAUAAAGAUACUGUAAUGAUUUCAAUUUGGUUUCUCACUCUGACAGCAAACAGUAUUAUUUAAAUGUCCAUCUUUUUGUCGCAAUGGAGGAGUGAAGUUGAUCGGUAAUUAGCAUAGGUGGUUGUCUCUGUCUUCUAGAACAUGGAAAGACUUAAUGGGGAUUUAGAAUGUUGGAACACAGGCCAUAUAACACUAUUUACAUUCCAAGUGUAAGAAAAAAAUAUUGUAUGUGUAAAUAAAUCGUUGACGCAAGGGA
Molecule: long non-coding RNA, 2197 nt
Organism: Esox lucius (northern pike)
Lineage: Eukaryota; Metazoa; Chordata; Actinopteri; Esociformes; Esocidae
Exons: 2
Source: RefSeq, a predicted model, not a curated record